UACGUAGGGUGCAAGCGUUAAUCGGAAUUACUGGGCGUAAAGCGUGCGCAGGCGGUGAUGUAAGACAGGUGUGAAAUCCCCGGGCUUAACCUGGGAACUGCAUUUGUGACUGCAUCGCUGGAGUGCGGCAGAGGGGGAUGGAAUUCCGCGUGUAGCAGUGAAAUGCGUAGAUAUGCGGAGGAACACCGGUGGCGAAGGCGGCCCGCUGGGCUGUUGCUGACGCUGAGGCGCGACAGCGUGGGGAGCAAACAGG
This 253-nucleotide ribosomal RNA is filed under the name uncultured bacterium. Its description in RNAcentral is "partial 16S ribosomal RNA". It matches the Rfam family "Bacterial small subunit ribosomal RNA", at positions 524 to 776 of the family's 1533-position model. The record is from RNAcentral.